UUACUACAUACACUUUAAUUAUUCACACAUAUACAUGUAUUCUGAUCUCAUGACACAAAAUAUCAGUGGAACAAUUUAUACAUGACAAACAUGUGUAAUAACAUUUGUCUCUUUCACAGAUUCCUGCUUCACCAGGUCGAUCCAGUCUGAGAGUCACAGUCCGGGCUCCUCCACAAAUCAUGGAGUCAACCAGAAUGAAACUCAUGAGUACGACUCUGUUCAUCCUGGUACCAAUCACAUCUAUGACUCAGUUACGCCGGUUGAAGACAACAGAAAUGGUGCAGUAUAUUUGUUGAAAAACACAGAGAAUUUAGAGAAGAAAUUUAUUUUUGAUUUAAUAAAAUUAUUUCCAUGUGAAAUGUUUACAAUCCUGUAACU
Non-coding RNA from Neolamprologus brichardi, 378 nucleotides. The record is from RefSeq and is a predicted model, not a curated record. NCBI's taxonomy places the organism in Eukaryota, Metazoa, Chordata, Actinopteri, Cichliformes, Cichlidae.